GUCGAGGAAAGUCCGGACUUCACAGAGCAGGGUGAUUGCUAACAGCAAUCCGAGGUGACUCGCGGGAAAGUGCCACAGAAAACAGACCGCCACUCUCGCGGUGGUAAGGGUGAAACGGUGCGGUAAGAGCGCACCAGCACCCCGGGUGACCGGGGUGGCUAGGCAAACCCCACCCGAAGCAAGGUCAAGAAGGCCGUACCGUAGGUGCGGCCGCGCAGGCGUUUGAGGGCUGCUCGCCCGAGUCUGCGGGUAGGCCGCUCGAGGUACCCGGCGACGGUGUGCCCAGAUGGAUGGUCGCCGCCGCGCC
Molecule: RNase P RNA, 307 nt
Filed under: Mycobacterium marinum E11
Lineage: Bacteria; Bacillati; Actinomycetota; Actinomycetes; Mycobacteriales; Mycobacteriaceae
Description: PE-PGRS family protein
Rfam family: Bacterial RNase P class A
About the family: Ribonuclease P (RNase P) is a ubiquitous endoribonuclease, found in archaea, bacteria and eukarya as well as chloroplasts and mitochondria. Its best characterised activity is the generation of mature 5'-ends of tRNAs by cleaving the 5'-leader elements of precursor-tRNAs.
Source: RNAcentral